RNAcentral lists this ribosomal RNA (404 nucleotides) under Actinomycetes bacterium. RNAcentral's name for it is "Actinobacteria bacterium partial 16S ribosomal RNA". It matches the Rfam family "Bacterial small subunit ribosomal RNA", at positions 355 to 776 of the family's 1533-position model. Lineage: Bacteria; Bacillati; Actinomycetota; Actinomycetes. The record is from RNAcentral.
UGGGGAAUAUUGGACAAUGGGCGCAAGCCUGAUCCAGCCAUGCCGCUUGUGUGAUGAAGGCCCUAGGGUUGUAAAGCUCUUUCACCGGUGAAGAUAAUGACGGUAACCGGAGAAGAAGCCCCGGCUAACUUCGUGCCAGCAGCCGCGGUAAUACGAAGGGGGCUAGCGUUGUUCGGAUUUACUGGGCGUAAAGCGCACGUAGGCGGACUAUUAAGUCAGGGGUGAAAUCCCGGGGCUCAACCCCGGAACUGCCUUUGAUACUGGUAGUCUUGAGUGCGAGAGAGGAGAGUGGAAUUCCGGGUGUAGAGGUGAAAUUCGUAGAUAUUCGGAGGAACACCAGUGGCGAAGGCGGCUCACUGGAUCGAUACUGACGCUGAGGUGCGAAAGCGUGGGGAGCAAACAGG